RNAcentral lists this small RNA (437 nucleotides) under Pongo abelii (Sumatran orangutan). RNAcentral's name for it is "processed transcript". The record is from RNAcentral. Lineage: Eukaryota; Metazoa; Chordata; Mammalia; Primates; Hominidae.
GCGGCGGCGGCCCCAAUCGAGCCACACCACCCGAAACUCGGCAGGCAAGAAGCUGGUCCGGCCUGACAAGGCGAAGACACAGGACACAGGCCACCGCCGAGGAGGAGGAGGAGGAGGAGCAGGUUUCAGAGGUGCCGGGAAGUCUGAGUCUUCGCCCUCCUGCUCUCCCUCCAUGUCCACCUAGGAGGCUGCCUACACCUGGGCAAGGGCACCCGGGCUCGGCUGGAUUUCCAGGAAGACCCACCCUAUGACGACUGCCCCCACUCCCAGAUCCUCCCCCAGCCUGGGAUUGAGCCCUGGGGAUGACCCGGGGUUGGCAAGGGAACAGCUGAAAUCGCCCCGUCCUUGGGGACCCCGCCCUUUGUACCGUCUGCCGUCUCCCCAGUGUUGGGCAUCCAGUCAGCCCUCAAUAAAUGCUUAUGAAUGGAUCAACAACA